Molecule: ribosomal RNA, 253 nt
Filed under: uncultured bacterium
Lineage: Bacteria
Description: partial 16S ribosomal RNA
Rfam family: Bacterial small subunit ribosomal RNA
Source: RNAcentral
UACGUAGGGGGCAAGCGUUGUCCGGAAUUAUUGGGCGUAAAGAGCGUGUAGGCGGCCAGAUAAGUCCGCUGUGAAAUCUCGAGGCUCAACUUCGAGCUGUCGGUGGAAACUAUCUGGCUAGAGUCCGGAAGAGGAGAAUGGAAUUCCUGGUGUAGCGGUGAAAUGCGCAGAUAUCAGGAAGAACACCCGUGGCGAAGGCGGUCCUCUGGGCAUUACCUGACGCUGAGGAGCGAAAGUGUGGGGAGCGAACAGG